GUAGUCAUUAACCCGUGUUGUCUUCCCAGCUUCCUCCUAUUUGUCUGUGGUGUCUCACUUUGAGCAAGUGGCCCCGGAGCUUGAGCAAUCAAAGGACCGUGAUGUCGAAGACCGCACUGGCUGACUCAACGCUGUCUGGGUCAGCGUCCUUAUUUAGUCCCUUCCUCUUCUUGGUUUCGGAUCCCAGCCCGCGUGUGUGUCCUUUGCACAAGGAACAGGUGGCCUUCCACGAUUCCACAGGAUGGCAGUCCACAGUGUUUGCUGUGAUUGGUCUCAUGACGCACAGUCCAUUUUUUAUGGCCCCAGAGAUCAGCGGGCACUUGAGUUUUGUAGACAGAAGUGAAAGGUCUCUGCCAAGAGUUGCCCACGCUCCUGGCGUUUCCUUCAGCCUGGUUGCCUUUUUAUUUGUGUCCCUAACAGAUGUCCUGGAUUUAAAGAACUUGUUCAUUUUUCAGGGUUCACGGAAUCAGACAAGGGAAAUGGGAUCCCCUUAAUGGCUCGUCAUCAUCACCUUCAUCCGGUUUAGUCAAACAUCUGUUCUCCUCAGGGCCCACCCCUCAAGGGUGUGGAGGGGGAAUCAUAUUUUUCUACCAUAUCCAUAUUUAUAUACGGAUGUUACAAAAUUGAUAUUAUACAGUAUAUGCUCUCCUAUAUCUGACAUUAUUUACUUAAACAUAUUUCAUAACUAUUUCCCCCAAGUCAAUAAAUAUUUCCCUGAAGCAUAAUUUUUCAAGGCUGUGUACUAUUCCUUUUCAGGAUGUGACAUAAUUUAACUAAUCUCAUAUUGUUAGAAAUUCUAUUUGCUUCCAAUUUGUCUUUGCUAUAGAACAAUGUUUAAAAAUAUUUUUGUGUGUGGAUUUUUGUACUGAGCCAUUCUUAUUAUAAAUUUACCUAAGUAUGGGAUUACUGAGUAAAGGGAACAAACUUUUUAAAGAUUCUGCUACCUUGUGAAGCGGUGGGAUUGUGCCGGUUUUCACUGUCUCCAUCAGGUGUACUCCCUUUCCCAUCGUUUGCCAUUUCUGUGAUGACCUCGUGUCCUAGCACAUGGGUUGGGCUCCCUUAGGAGCAGGGAACACUCUGUCUGUGUUCAUCUUCCCCCAUCGGCUUGCUCUGCUGGACCUCUACCUCUGUAACUUCCUCCAACCAAGCAUCUGUGGAGUCAUAAUGACUGUGCAUCUCUCAUUUCACUUAUUAAAUAUCCGUAUCGAAAGUUAGAUGACCCACAUGUGUCAGAUUUGGCAUUUACCGUUCUUUGUGAAGCCCAGUAACAUGCUAGGAAGAUUCUGUGGUGGCUCACAGAUAAGAUUUCUCCUCC
RNAcentral lists this long non-coding RNA (1315 nucleotides) under Equus caballus (horse). RNAcentral describes it as "lncRNA (ENSECAG00000052279.1)". Lineage: Eukaryota; Metazoa; Chordata; Mammalia; Perissodactyla; Equidae. The record is from RNAcentral.